UUUCUUAUAUGACAUAUCAAAGAACAAACAUCAUUGUGCAAGAUGGUUUAGCUGCUAUUACUAGUGCAUUGGCAAAGAUUAGAGAGACUGUGAAGUAUCUCAAAGGUUCAAAAUCUAGACGUAUUGCACUUGGAGAAUGCGUGGAGAGUGAUGGUGAAGUCCUUUUUCUUUAGAUGUCCAGCAUAGAUGGAAUUCUACUUAAUUGAUGAUUGAGAAGGCUUUAAAGUAUGAUUGUGCUCUAAAUAGGUUUAAAGUGGUUGACAAAAAAUAUAAAUAUUUUCCCUCAGCUCAAGAUUGGAAGAGAGCAAAGUUGAUUCAUGAGAUUUUGAUGCCUUUCUAUAAAAUUACAACUUUAAUGUCUAGAAGAAGGUAUUCUACAUCUAACUUGUACUUUGGGCAUAUAUGGAAGAUUCAAUGUUUGCUGGAAGUGAAUAGGGACCAUGUAGACAACGUGAUCAGAGAGAUGGUUUAUGAGCUGAGAUUAAAAUAUGAUAAAUAUUUGGAGCAAUACAAUGUUGUUCUUGCAAUGGGAGCAGUUCUAGAUCCUCGGAUGAAAUUCAAACUUUUAAAGCGGUGUUAUGACGAACUUGAUCUAUUUACUUCACAAGCAAAAAUAAAUCAUCUCAAGAGUGAGCUCUAUAAGCUCUUUGAAGAAUAUCGGAAAAAGUUUCCUUUGACUCCGGUUGGAAGCUGUACGAGGGAAGUUUCUUGUGUUCCUACUCGAGGCAGAGGGAAUUUAGACGUACAAGAUGUAAAUUUAUAUACUUGCAACUUAAGAACUCUGAACUUAUGGGCUGUUUUAAGUUUCUGCCAUGUUUAAAAUCUAGUGAUACAGGAUUUUUUGACUUGGAUGAUGUCCUAGAUUAUAUGGAAGAAGGAAAGUCAGCUUUAGAUAUGUACUUAGAAGAUCCAAAGUUAGACAUGAAAAGUUAUCCUAAUCUCAAUGUUUUGCGUUAUUGGAGAGAGAAUCAACAUCGAUUUGCCGCGCUAACUUACAUGGCGAUGGAUAUACUCAGUAUUCCCAUAACUACGGUAGCUUCCGAAUCUUCUUUCAACAUUGGAUAACAUAUUAUUAACAGUAUCGGACUCGGCUUCUUCCAACCAAUGUCUAAGCCUUAUUAUGUACUUGGUCUUGGAUACAUGGUUACAAAAUUGAUGAUGAAGGUAAGAAAAUACUAACGGGUAUCAAUUUGCUUUAAUUAGAUCAGUUUACAAUACUAAUAUUUUUCUCUUAUGAAUUCUAGAUAACAAUGGUGAGGUGAUUAUUAUUCGCUCAGAUUCAGAUAAUGUGGAAGAACAUUCUACAGUUACUUAAAGCACCAUCAUUCACAGGUUUUAACUCAGCUUUUUUUUCUCCAGAUUCUAUUUUGUAUAAAGAUUGUUUGUUUACCUCUGGUGUGAUUAGUAUAUGUAUUCUUGCUUGGUUGUGGAUUUGGCUUUGUUUACCUCUGGUGUGAUUAGUAUAUGUAUUGAGCAAGCAAGAUUUGAUCUCUCCCCUCUGUUUCCUUGUAAGCUUUCUCUCUCCUUCAAUAUAUGUGUACACGUGAUGACCAUAAUUGAUUUCGGUGACUUUUGGAUAGGUUUUAGUUAGUUAGAUUACAAAUAUAACUAUUCUCGUUGAUAAUCAUCUUGUAAUCAACGAGAUGAUUUAGGUGAGAUGAUUAAGACUAUUGAUUUUCUUUUUAUGGCUUUGACUUUGACAUUCUUGUUGUUGUGGAUGUGUUUUGUGACUUAGAGCUUGUGAGAAGAUGAUUGAGUUUAGUUGUCUAAUCAAUUUCUAACCAUCGACGUGUUUGGUUUUGCAGCUUGCUUCAUUGGAAAGUCAAUAUAGUUCAAAUGGUUUUCUUUAUUGCUUCAUUGGAAAGUCAAUACAGUUCAAAAUCUAUAUAUUAGGGUUUAUAAGUUUUCACUAUAUGAUUACUGAUUCGGUAUAAGUACUUUUGAUGUGUUUUCUUAUUUGACUAUUAGACAAUUGAGUUUAAAAUAUGACAAUAACUACUUGUGUUUAGUUGUAAAUAGGUCAACUCAUUAAACCCAUUAAUCGAUUUGCUAAAUGAGUUGGUUUGACCCAUUAACAUUUAAUACUGAAUCUAUAUGAAUAUGGGAUGGUUUGGUUUGGUUUAACCAACUUGACACCCCUACAUGCAUGCAACGUACACAAAAGUUUUCAAGCAUCAAGCGUUUAUAUUAUCAUCAAAUAUGACAAACGGAUCUCGUAUAAAAACAUAAUUAUUUUGCAUAUCAAAUAUGAACAAUAAAUUAGGCUUAGUUCAAGCUUAUACACGUAGGCUCUGAUACCAUUAUUGGCAUUUGUACCGGUUUAUAAAGAUUUAUAAAACAAAUUACAAAUUCAAUUGCCAGGAUUCAUGUAAAUAUUGAACAAAAUCUAUGUCAUCAGAUUAUGAAUAUACCUUGGUAGUUUGCAGCGGAAUGAUGAACUAAAAUAACUGAGGUCGUAAAGAACUCCAAACGUCUUGCCUCUACUGGUAUCCAUACGCACACAGACUGGAUCACACGGGAUGCUAGGACCGUAGAGAGACGAGCUCAAGAACGAAAUAGACUUCUUUGUCUAAUAUUAGGGGGGUAUACUGAACUUGACAUUUUAGGAGAUUUGAUGGGGUUUAAAAUUUUUAGAAUUUUGAAAGAUUUGAAAGCUAUUUUAGAAGAUUUUGUUAUUUGUUAGAGAUUUUUAUUAAAAAGAAGAAAAUGAUAUGGGAUUUGGUGAGAUUUUAAUUAAUAAGUUUUGGGUGAUUGUAGGAUACUUUAGAACCAACAUGAAAAGAAAAUUUUGUUUCCAAAGAUCCCAACCCAGGUCCCGAUCAAAUUAUUAAACUUUAAUAGGCUUACACAACACCAAUGCUCUACUAUGUAUCGUACAUUGUCGUUUUAUUAACCUAUAGAGAGCUAUAGUUAUACUCAUUACUAAAUCAUAAAUGGCGACACGAGUCGACGAAACCCAUGUCGAGUUCUGUUCUAAGUAUAGAAAUUGGGAACAAGAGAGAUGGGUCUUUGAAGCCACUGUGUAAGAAAGAAGUUCUGUUGGUUAAUUAAAUUGUUGAAAAACCUUUGCCUAGAGUGGUUAGGGGUAUAUUAGUGGAGUAUGUUCAGAAUGUGAAGCCUGAGUUCAUGGAGAUGUUUGUUAAACGUGGCCCUAAACCUGUAACUUUCUCUGCUUCAUUCUCUUAAAAGACCCAUUUUUUUUUGUAAAACGUGUUAAAGCUUUUGAUUGAUUCUGUGUUUUUUCUUUGGUAAUUGGAAAUGUUGAUAAGGUGGUAGAUGCAAUGAGACAUAGAAAUCCUCUACAAUCAUAUUCAAUAGAGUUUUUUAAACAAUUACGAUAUUUUCAAUAACAAUAGAUUUGAAGUGAGAUUUACAAAUUGGUAAUUGAGUAACAAGAGAUUUUGAAAUAUUUUAAAUGAUUUUACAUAAAUUCCAUGUUCAAAAACCAAAGAUUUCAUAAUAUUUUUAAAAAUCCUAAUUUCAAUAACAAGUGAUUUUAAAAUUACACCAAAAUCUUCUAAAAUAUCAUGUUCAAUACCCCACUCUUGGGGAUCGGCGGUGUGUAUGUUGUCAUUAACGUGACUCAUAACUAUAUAUAUUAGUCAACGUUAAUCUAGUUACUAAUGGGCCAUAAGCCCAACUAAAUUUUGAAGUACACUUUGUUGUAUCCAUAUGUGUAUCUUAUACAACAUACAUAUAUCUUAUAUAAUAAACAUUUUAUUAUAAAUAUAUAUGUAUAUCUCAUAUAACAUAUAUAUUAUAUUAUAUAACCCAACCAUAAUCCAGUCUGCUUAGGUCUGUGACCAUGUAGGAUCGUAUAAUAUUAUCAAUGAACUUCUAAAGUCAUUGAUUAUAAGAGGUUUCUAGCAAAACAUUAUAAUCACAUACUAUUAUUUGAUACAACUUAAACUAGAGUAAGUACAAAUGAUUUCAGAACAUUCCCAACACAAACCAAUCUAACCGGUCCAUACGCCAAAACAGUUUACAUGGAGCAUUUUGGAGAAUUAUUGGUCUCAAAGGUCCUGAAAGAACUCCAUAAUUAAGCGUGCUUAUGUAGUUUUCGGAUGGGUGACCUUCUGGGAAAUGGUUGUCAGAAUAAUAUGAGUGAGGUCAAAACAUAGGGAAAUAUCAUAUGGUGAUUUGUAGGGUCGGUAAACAAGUCUUUAAGUCUCCCAGACGUAGCAAACCGGCCGUCGGAUAUGGAUGGGCUCAUGGGUCUAGUGAAAGGACGUGAUUCCCAUUAAGAGAGGUGGGGGCAUGGAUUACGAGUGAACAUGUGUCCCAUUGGACAGGUGACGGUCGGGUGUUACAAGUGGCAUCAAAGCUGAACCCAGACGUGUGUGGAAUAAGGGGCUACACCUUCAGGGGGUGACGGUCCUGGUGUGCAACGAGGUGUUUUGGUCUGUUAGUGGAGGAUAAUUGUGAGACCCCAGUUUGCGGAGAGGUUUAAAUGAAUUGAUUUGGCCAAAAGUCACAAAAGUGCACUUAUGUUUUUGGUCAAAGGUCAUAAGAGAACUCCACAGUUAAGUGUGUUUAUGCUAGAGUAGUCAAAUGAUGGGUUGUUGGAUAAGCUCCAUAGCUUGAAGCCCAAGAUAUCAUUAACUAGUUGGUUAAUGGCAAGAUAAGCUUAAUGGAAAUUAUCUAAUUAUGUUAGGAAUAGAAAAGAGGAGUUUUCUAUUUAUAUGAGGAUUAGGAAUUUUAAUUCUUGUUCUAUAAAUAUGAUUGUUGAGUUGUGACAAUCAUCAAAAAAAGCAAAAGAGCUUUGUGUUUAGUUUUUAGAGCUAUAUUUUCUAAACACAUAUUGAGAGAGAUAUUUUUAAUAAAGAGCUCAGUUUGCUUUAAGAGUCUUUAUUUGGUAUCAGAAAUGAAGGUAUAAUCGAUCCUUGAGCAAAUCGAAAGAGAGAAGAAUCAUCGUCCAAGCCAUGGCCGAUGAUGAUGCUAUUGUCCCGGUCAACACCAAACGCAAGGAGAGCGUUCCUUCAUCAAUUCAAUGUCCCAUGCUGAUGCGGACAUCAGAACUAGAUCAGACCAAGAGCACACCAAACCGGUCUACAUGGAGAAUUUUGGAGAAUCUUUGUCUAAGUAGAGUUCUGAUCAAGUACAAGGUGAAGUGUUAAUUAUUCACCAUGAUAUUAACCCUAAAAAGUCCGACAGUUCAAGAGGGAUCAAAAAUCAGCAAGUCAAAUCACCUUACUAUUGGGAUAUGACUGUUGCACUCUUUUUCCCUUAUCUAGGGUUUGUCCCAAUGGGUUUACCUAUAAAGGUUUUAAUGAGGCAACAUCAAGUCAUCAAGGAAUCAUUCACCAUCCAUAUGAUUCAAAGAUGAUAGCUGAUGUACAUUCUGAUAUACUCACGGACAAGCAUGCUGAACUAUUCGCUGACAAGCAUGCUGAACUACUCGCUGACCGACUACCUGAACUACUCGCUGACCGACUGCCUGAACUACAUCAGAUUGCGGGCUGUGAGGAUUUGAAGUCUUUUAACACUUGGAUCAGCCAUGAAGGUAGCCUACACAGUCAUCUGAUUCACUACAAGGCCCCAGUCCAUGGAGAACAUCCCAAGAGAAGACCCAAGUCCAAACCACCAUUUGAAUCAAGGUCGUUGAUCUACUUAGAGCGAUAUAAGGAAACUCUCCUUUACUUUCAUGAAGACGUGUUCCAAAGCUGCAUAUGGAAACUAAGAGAACUUGUAGGCCACACAAGACUUGUCCCACACGAUCUUUGGUACACCUUACCACACAAGAAGCCGAUGAGUCACUACUUGCCAUACAUGGAGCAAAAGGAGAUCAAGCUGCAACGACUCCUUCCUUAUUCACUUAUGCACGUCUUCAAAGCUUCUUACAAUGAACCUAGACACCACAAGGAGUCAUGGAUUCUCACCCAAGCUUUCAAGACUCAAGGCAUCUCUCUACUUGCCUUAUUUUUCCGAUUUGGUUCAUAAAGUCCCAACGGCAAGUGUAAUUAAUUUUGAGCGAUUUGUUUCUUGUUUUACAUUAUUAGGACGUGUAUCUGAGCCUAUAUAAGCUCAUUAGAUUGUUCAUUUGUAAUUACCCUUGAUCAAUUUAAAGUAAAAGAAGUUUUCUUCUUGUUUAAGUUUGAGUCUUUGUCAAUCUUGUUCUUUAGUUCUUUAUGAGUGAGUCACUUUGUGCUUUAGAAACCUGCGGAUUAAGUUUAUUGAGUGAUUCAACAACCUUCAUUCGUCCAUUGAUCGAGUGAGUCGAUUACCCCACUGAUUGAGCGAGUCAAUCACAUGUACUAUCCCCUGUACCACCCAUUGAUUCACGAGAGAGUGCUUCGGGCCAGCUCGUGAAUUCCACCUUCCGCAAGCUAAGCUUGGAAUCUCUUGAUUCAUGGAGAAGAUCUCUAUCAAGUCACGUCAGAUGAGGAAGACAACUAUGGAACGGUCUCGUGGCAAAGAGAUGAUAGUUCAGCUUCUGAUUCAAGAGAUGAACCAGACCAUGAAGCACCAGAACCAGAACCGCCUGACUCAUACAACACCCAUAAAGGAAAAGAUGAUUAUCUUAAGCGAAAAGAAGACAUGGAGUAUAAAAAGGCAACAACAAAGGGCAACCAGUAUCGACGUCCUCCAAGGCGUGAAGAGAAGACCGACCAUCACCUCUUAUUACACCGAGUCCCUACAGCCUCACGUCAAACAAAAUCAAAAGACAAGUACUUCUGUACAAACCCACGAGUAGUACAGGAAGUGAGUCAACGAUCAUCAAUUCGUUUUGAACCACAUCCAAGUGGUAGACGUGAUCCCCUAGCUGAGAGAGACGCAAGGACCAGUAAACUAAGAGGAGGCGAGCUAAAAUAUGGUGCUAAAAGAGACCCGUUGCUAUCCAAUCCCAACCGAAUCCACAAGAAAAAAUUCAGGUUAUCUCUAGACAAUGGUUAUGAGUAUUUUGGACCUGAAUGUUUUG
Molecule: long non-coding RNA, 6919 nt
Filed under: Capsella rubella
Lineage: Eukaryota; Viridiplantae; Streptophyta; Magnoliopsida; Brassicales; Brassicaceae
Description: long non-coding RNA (CRUB_LNC003814)
Source: RNAcentral